RNAcentral lists this ribosomal RNA (500 nucleotides) under uncultured Glomeromycotina. RNAcentral's name for it is "partial small subunit ribosomal RNA". It matches the Rfam family "Eukaryotic small subunit ribosomal RNA", at positions 591 to 1092 of the family's 1831-position model. The record is from RNAcentral. Lineage: Eukaryota; Fungi; Glomeromycota.
CCAAUAGCGUAUAUUAAAGUUGUUGCAGUUAAAAAGCUCGUAGUUGAAUUUCGGAUUCAAUAUGUCGGUCGUGCCUCCGGUACGUACUGGUAUCGUUGAUUUCUACCUUCUGACGAACCAUGAUGUCAUUAAUUUGGUGUCAUGGGAAAUCAGGACUGUUACUUUGAAAAAAUUAGAGUGUUUAAAGCAGGCACACGCUUGAAUACAUUAGCAUGGAAUAAUGAAAUAGGACGUUUGAUCCUAUUUUGUUGGUUUCUAGGGUCGACGUAAUGAUUAAUAGGGAUAGUUGGGGGCGUUAGUAUUCAAUUGUCAGAGGUGAAAUUCUUUGAUUUAUUGAAGACUGACUACUGCGAAAGCAUGUGCCAAGGAUGUUUUCAUUAAUCAAGAACGAAAGUUAGGGGAUCGAAGACGAUCAGAUACCGUCGUAGGCUUAACCAUAAGCUAUGCCGACUAGGGGUCGGAUGAUGUUAAUUUUUUAAUGACUCAUUCGGCGCCUUACG